This 498-nucleotide ribosomal RNA is filed under the name uncultured bacterium. Its description in RNAcentral is "partial 16S ribosomal RNA". It matches the Rfam family "Bacterial small subunit ribosomal RNA", at positions 29 to 523 of the family's 1533-position model. The record is from RNAcentral.
AUUGAACGCUGGCGGCAUGCUUUACACAUGCAAGUCGAACGGUAACAGGCCGCAAGGUGCUGACGAGUGGCGAACGGGUGAGUAAUGCAUCGGAACGUGCCCAGUCGUGGGGGAUAACGCAGCGAAAGCUGUGCUAAUACCGCAUACGAUCUAUGGAUGAAAGCGGGGGACCGUAAGGCCUCGCGCGAUUGGAGCGGCCGAUGUCAGAUUAGGUAGGUGGUGGGGUAAAGGCUCACCAGGCCAACGAUCUGUAGCUGGUCUGAGAGGACGACCCGCCACACUGGGACUGAGACACGGCCCAGACUCCUACGGGAGGCAGCAGUGGGGAAUUUUGGACAAUGGGCGCAAGCCUGAUCCAGCAAUGCCGCGUGCAGGAAGAAGGCCUUCGGGUUGUAAACUGCUUUUGUACGGAACGAAAAGGUUUGGGUUAAUACCCUGGGCCGAUGACGGUACCGUAAGAAUAAGCACCGGCUAACUACGUGCCAGCAGCCGCAGUAA